This 407-nucleotide ribosomal RNA is filed under the name uncultured bacterium. RNAcentral describes it as "partial 16S ribosomal RNA". It matches the Rfam family "Bacterial small subunit ribosomal RNA", at positions 29 to 526 of the family's 1533-position model. The record is from RNAcentral.
AGCGAACGCUGGCGGCAGGCCUAACACAUGCAAGUCGAGGGGAGCGGCAGACGGGUGAGUAACGCGUGGGAACGUACCUUUAGGUUCGGGACAACAAAGGGAAACUUGUGAUGAUACAGGAUAACGAAAGAUCGGCCCGCGCCUGAUUAGCUAGUUGGUAGGGUAAUGGCCUACCAAGGCGACGAUCAGUAGCUGGUCUGAGAGGAUGAUGAGCCACCUUGGGACUGAGACGCGGCCCAAACUCCUACGGGAGGCAGCAAUGGCGAACCUUGGACAAUGGGGUCAACCCUGAUCCAGCCCUGCCGCGUGAGUUAUGAUGUCCCUAGGGUUGUAAAGCUCUUUUGUGCGGGAAUCGGUACCGCAAGAAUAAGCCCCGGCUAACUUCGUGCCAGCAGCCGCGGUAAUUC